RNAcentral lists this ribosomal RNA (465 nucleotides) under Vreelandella stevensii. RNAcentral's name for it is "partial 16S ribosomal RNA". It matches the Rfam family "Bacterial small subunit ribosomal RNA", at positions 338 to 795 of the family's 1533-position model. Lineage: Bacteria; Pseudomonadati; Pseudomonadota; Gammaproteobacteria; Oceanospirillales; Halomonadaceae. The record is from RNAcentral.
CCUACGGUUGGCUGCAGUGGGGAAUAUUGGACAAUGGGGGCAACCCUGAUCCAGCCAUGCCGCGUGUGUGAAGAAGGCCCUCGGGUUGUAAAGCACUUUCAGUGAGGAAGAACGCCUGGUGGUUAAUACCCAUCAGGAAAGACAUCACUCACAGAAGAAGCACCGGCUAACUCCGUGCCAGCAGCCGCGGUAAUACGGAGGGUGCGAGCGUUAAUCGGAAUUACUGGGCGUAAAGCGCGCGUAGGUGGCUUGAUAAGCCGGUUGUGAAAGCCCCGGGCUCAACCUGGGAACGGCAUCCGGAACUGUCAAGCUAGAGUGCAGGAGAGGAAGGUAGAAUUCCCGGUGUAGCGGUGAAAUGCGUAGAGAUCGGGAGGAAUACCAGUGGCGAAGGCGGCCUUCUGGACUGACACUGACACUGAGGUGCGAAAGCGUGGGUAGCAAACAGGAUUAGAUACCCCGGUAGUC